This 493-nucleotide ribosomal RNA is filed under the name uncultured Actinomycetes bacterium. Its description in RNAcentral is "bacterial SSU rRNA". It matches the Rfam family "Bacterial small subunit ribosomal RNA", at positions 355 to 864 of the family's 1533-position model. Lineage: Bacteria; Bacillati; Actinomycetota; Actinomycetes. The record is from RNAcentral.
UUAGGAAUCUUGCGCAAUGGGCGAAAGCCUGACGCAGCAACGCCGCGUGGGGGAUGAAGGCUCUCGGGUUGUAAACCCCUUUCAGCAGGGACGAUUGUGACGGUACCUGCAGAAGAAGGACCGGCCAACUACGUGCCAGCAGCCGCGGUAAUACGUAGGGUCCGAGCGUUGUCCGGAUUCAUUGGGCGUAAAGAGCUCGUAGGCGGUUUCGUAAGUCGGAUGUGAAAACUCAGGGCUCAACCCGGAGACGCCAUCCGAUACUGCGAUGACUGGAGUCUGGUAGGGGAUCACGGAAUACCUGGUGUAGCGGUGAAAUGCGCAGAUAUCAGGUGGAACACCGAUGGCGAAGGCAGUGAUCUGGGCCAGUACUGACGCUGAGGAGCGAAAGCGUGGGGAGCAAACAGGAUUAGAUACCCUGGUAGUCCACGCCGUAAACGUUGGGCACUAGGUGUGGGUCCUCAUCAACGGGAUCCGUGCCGUAGCUAACGCUAAG